UUGACCGUGCAAAGGUAGCAUAAUCAUUAGUCUAUUAAUUGUGGACUUGUAUGAAUGGUUUCACGAAAUAUUAACUGUCUCAUUUAUAUACAUAUAAUUUAAUUUUUGAGUUAAAAAGCUUAAAUUUUAUUGUAGGACGAGAAGACCCUAUAGAUCUUUAUUUAUUUAUUUCUAGGCUUUUUUUGUUUAUUUUUUGUUUAUAAUUAUUUAUAUUUAGUUGGGGUGACUAUUAGAUAGAAUUAACUCUUUAUUAUAUUAUACAUUUAUUUAUGAAUAAUUGACCUUAUAUUAUUGUUUACAAGAUUAAGAUACCUUAGGGAUAACAGCGUAAUUUUCUUUAAGAGUUCAUAUCGACAGGAAAGAUUGCGACCUCGAUGUUGGAUUAAGAUAAAUUUUAGGUGUAGAAGUUUAAAGUUUUAGGUCUGUUCGACCUUUAAUAUCUUACAUGAU
This 450-nucleotide ribosomal RNA is filed under the name Libethra strigiventris. RNAcentral's name for it is "partial 16S ribosomal RNA". It matches the Rfam family "Bacterial large subunit ribosomal RNA", at positions 1942 to 2604 of the family's 2925-position model. The record is from RNAcentral. Lineage: Eukaryota; Metazoa; Arthropoda; Insecta; Phasmatodea; Diapheromeridae.